This 32-nucleotide non-coding RNA is filed under the name Homo sapiens (human). The record is from RNAcentral. Lineage: Eukaryota; Metazoa; Chordata; Mammalia; Primates; Hominidae.
GGACCUUGAAAUGAUGCCGUUUCGGUGGAGUG